RNAcentral lists this long non-coding RNA (279 nucleotides) under Brassica napus (rape). RNAcentral's name for it is "long non-coding RNA (BNAP_LNC015300)". Lineage: Eukaryota; Viridiplantae; Streptophyta; Magnoliopsida; Brassicales; Brassicaceae. The record is from RNAcentral.
GGGUGAUGAUAAGUCACACACAAUACAAGUACUGAGUCAAAACACAAACAUGCAACAAAACUUAUGAAGGAGGGAAAAAACGGUUGAGGUUAAAAGGGAGAGUGUAGAACUCCUCAUUCCUGAAAACGGUUGAGUUUAAAGGGGAGAGUGUAGAACUCCUAAUUCCUGCUAUCUCCUUUGAAUGUUCUGAACUUAGCCCACCAAGGCAACCCUCUGUCUUUAGCGCUCUCUUUGUAGUCCAAAGUGUUGUCCAAGAACACUGCGAUCAUCAACGCCACC